GACGAACGCUGGCGGCGUGCUUAACACAUGCAAGUCGAACGGAAAGGCCCUGCUUUUGUGGGGUGCUCGAGUGGCGAACGGGUGAGUAACACGUGAGUAACCUGCCCUUGACUUUGGGAUAACUUCAGGAAACUGGGGCUAAUACCGGAUAGGAGCUCCUGCUGCAUGGUGGGGGUUGGAAAGUUUCGGCGGUUGGGGAUGGACUCGCGGCUUAUCAGCUUGUUGGUGGGGUAGUGGCUUACCAAGGCUUUGACGGGUAGCCGGCCUGAGUGGGUGACCGGCCACAUUGGGACUGCGAUACGGCCCAGACUCCUACGGGAGGCAGCAGUGGGGAAUAUUGCACAAUGGGCGGAAGCCUGAUGCAGCAACGCCGCGUGCGGGAUGACGGCCUUCGGGUUGUAAACCGCUUUCGCCUGUGACGAAGCGUGAGUGACGGUAAUGGGUAAAGAAGCACCGGCUAACUACGUG
RNAcentral lists this ribosomal RNA (468 nucleotides) under uncultured bacterium. RNAcentral describes it as "partial 16S ribosomal RNA". It matches the Rfam family "Bacterial small subunit ribosomal RNA", at positions 28 to 507 of the family's 1533-position model. The record is from RNAcentral.